UGGCAACGGUGCCCUUAGAGCA
Molecule: unclassified non-coding RNA, 22 nt
Filed under: Mus musculus (house mouse)
Lineage: Eukaryota; Metazoa; Chordata; Mammalia; Rodentia; Muridae
Description: oocyte_clustered_small_RNA9649
Source: RNAcentral